GAUGAACGCUGGCGGCGUGCCUAAUACAUGCAAGUCGAGCGAACGGACGAGAAGCUUGCUUCUCUGAUGUUAGCGGCGGACGGGUGAGUAACGCGUGGAUAACCUACCUAUAAGACUGGGAUAACUUCGGGAAACCGGAGCUAAUACCGGAUAAUAUUUUGAACCGCAUGGUUCAAAAGUGAAAGACGGUCUUGCUGUCACUUAUAGAUGGAUCCGCGCUGCAUUAGCUAGUUGGUAAGGUAACGGCUUACCAAGGCAACGAUGCAUAGCCGACCUGAGAGGGUGAUCGGCCACACUGGAACUGAGACACGGUCCAGACUCCUACGGGAGGCAGCAGUAGGGAAUCUUCCGCAAUGGGCGAAAGCCUGACGGAGCAACGCCGCGUGAGUGAUGAAGGUCUUCGGAUCGUAAAACUCUGUUAUUAGGGAAGAACAAAUGUGUAAGUAACUAUGCACAUCUUGACGGUACCUAAUCAGAAAGCCACGGCUAACUACGUG
RNAcentral lists this ribosomal RNA (497 nucleotides) under uncultured bacterium. Its description in RNAcentral is "partial 16S ribosomal RNA". It matches the Rfam family "Bacterial small subunit ribosomal RNA", at positions 28 to 507 of the family's 1533-position model. The record is from RNAcentral.